ACAGGGGGAUAACAUUGGAAGCGAUAGCUAAGACCGCAUAGGUACGGACACUGCAUGGUGACCGUAUUAAAAGUGCCUCAAAGCACUGGUAGAGGAUGGACUUAUGGCGCAUUAGCUGGUUGGCGGGGUAACGGCCCACCAAGGCGACGAUGCGUAGCCGACCUGAGAGGGUGACCGGCCACACUGGGACUGAGACACGGCCCAG
Molecule: ribosomal RNA, 205 nt
Filed under: uncultured bacterium
Lineage: Bacteria
Description: partial 16S ribosomal RNA
Rfam family: Bacterial small subunit ribosomal RNA
Source: RNAcentral